AUACUUGGGGAUAUGCCUUUGCGUGGGGGAUAACUAUUGGAAACGAUAGCUAAUACCGCAUGAUGUCUACGGACCAAAGGGGGCUUUCGGGCUCUCGCGCAAUGAGUAACCCAAGCGAGAUUAGCUAGUUGGUGAGGUAAAGGCUCACCAAGGCGACGAUCUCUAGCUGUUCUGAGAGGAAGAUCAGCCACACUGGGACUGAGACACGGCCCAGACUCCUACGGGAGGCAGCAGUGGGGAAUAUUGCACAAUGGGGGAAACCCUGAUGCAGCCAUGCCGCGUGUGUGAAGAAGGCCUUCG
RNAcentral lists this ribosomal RNA (300 nucleotides) under uncultured Alteromonadaceae bacterium. RNAcentral describes it as "bacterial SSU rRNA". It matches the Rfam family "Bacterial small subunit ribosomal RNA", at positions 113 to 420 of the family's 1533-position model. Lineage: Bacteria; Pseudomonadati; Pseudomonadota; Gammaproteobacteria; Alteromonadales; Alteromonadaceae. The record is from RNAcentral.